RNAcentral lists this ribosomal RNA (211 nucleotides) under Pseudomonas flexibilis. RNAcentral's name for it is "23S rRNA. Bacterial LSU". It matches the Rfam family "Bacterial large subunit ribosomal RNA", at positions 2719 to 2925 of the family's 2925-position model. Lineage: Bacteria; Pseudomonadati; Pseudomonadota; Gammaproteobacteria; Pseudomonadales; Pseudomonadaceae. The record is from RNAcentral.
GGUUGUCACGCCAGUGGCACUGCCGGGUAGCUAUGUUCGGAAGAGAUAACCGCUGAAAGCAUCUAAGCGGGAAACUUGCCUCAAGAUGAGAUCUCACUGGAGCCUCGAGCUCCCUGAAGGGCCGUCGGAGACUACGACGUUGAUAGGCUGGGUGUGUAAGCGUUGUGAGGCGUUGAGCUAACCAGUACUAAUUGCCCGUGAGGCUUGACCA